CAACAACAACAACAACAACAACAACAACAACACAGGCCACUGGAGGAAAUAAGAACAGAGGACAACAUGGUCAAUACAACAACAACAACAGACCACUGGAGGAAAUAAGAACAGAGGACAACAUGGUCAAUACAACAACAACAACAACAACAACAACAGACCACUGGGGGAAAUAAGAACAGAGGACAACAUGGUCAAUACAACAACAACAACAACAACAACAGGCCACUGGGGUAAAUAAGAACAGAGGACAACAUGGUCAAUACAACAACAACAACAGACUACUGGGGGAAAUAACAACAGAGGACAACAUGGUCAAUACAACAACAACAACAACAGACCACUGGGGGAAAUAAGAACAGAGGACAACAUGGUCAAUACAACAACAACAACAACAACAACAACAGACCACUGGGGGAAAUAAGAACAGAGGACAACAUGGUCAAUACAACAACAACAACAGGCCACUGGGGGAAAUAAGAACAGAGGACAACAACAACAACAACAACAACAACAACAACAACAACAACAGGCCACUGGUGUAAAUAACAACAGAGGACAACAUGGUCAAUACAACAACAACAACAGACCACUACAGAGACGGACAGAGAAGAAGUCAAUAACGGACAGGGUCGUGUUUAGAAGCUCAAUACAGAAGAAAACACAGUGAAACAGGAGGUAGAAAACUAUCUGAACUUGUUCAAUAUCAAAUGACUGUUUAGUUUUGCAACACAUUUCGUUAUGGUGUGUGCUCAAAUGAACACAACCCAGCUUCAAUAG
Molecule: long non-coding RNA, 780 nt
Organism: Oncorhynchus tshawytscha (Chinook salmon)
Lineage: Eukaryota; Metazoa; Chordata; Actinopteri; Salmoniformes; Salmonidae
Source: Ensembl